This 228-nucleotide ribosomal RNA is filed under the name uncultured bacterium. Its description in RNAcentral is "partial 16S ribosomal RNA". It matches the Rfam family "Bacterial small subunit ribosomal RNA", at positions 118 to 345 of the family's 1533-position model. The record is from RNAcentral.
UGAGGAACAUGACCUUCGGCGGGGGAUAGCCGGCCCAACGGUCGGGUAAUACCGCGUACGACCACAUGGGGACAUCCCUGAGUGGUGAAAGCAGCAAUGCGCCGAUGGAGUGCCUCGCGGCCUAUCAGCUAGUUGGUGAGGUAACGGCUCACCAAGGCGACGACGGAUAGCUGGUCUGAGAGGAUGGCCAGCCACAUUGGGACUGAGACACGGCCCAGAUCCUACGGG